RNAcentral lists this ribosomal RNA (1119 nucleotides) under Tilletiopsis washingtonensis. RNAcentral's name for it is "eukaryotic LSU rRNA". The stretch from base 614 to 1119 matches the Rfam family "Eukaryotic large subunit ribosomal RNA", at positions 1 to 508 of the family's 3401-position model. Lineage: Eukaryota; Fungi; Basidiomycota; Exobasidiomycetes; Entylomatales. The record is from RNAcentral.
GUCUGUAGGUGACUGCAGAGGAUCAUUAGUGAAUACACCGGGGAACCCACUCUGUGGGCCCCAACCCUUCACCAUAUCCUCACACCUGUGCACCGCUGGUAGAUGCCGCUGUACUUCGGUACGGUUUGCAGCUGCUGGCAACCUAUACACACACACCUGAGUUCUAUGAAUGUUAAUUUUACUUGCCUUCGGGCAGAACUAAAAUACAACUUUUGACAACGGAUCUCUUGGUUCUCCCAUCGAUGAAGAACGCAGCGAAAUGCGAUAAGUAAUGUGAAUUGCAGAAUUCAGUGAAUCAUCGAAUCUUUGAACGCACCUUGCGCUCGUUGGUAUUCCGACGAGCAUGCCUGUUUGAGUGUCAUGAAUUCUCCACCCCCAUGUCUUUUGUCACCAAAGGACGUGCUUGGGGCGGGUCCAUGGGCAUCUUUGCCAGUCUUCGGACAGGCUUGCCUUAAAAGUAUUAGCUGGACUGCAUCUGCGAUGCAUUGGUUCUACUCAACGUGAUAAGUUCAUUCGUUGAGGACGGCUUCACGGCCGGCCAAGCUACAAUGCGAUCAAUAGUCUGCUUCUAACCCGGCGCGGAGUGCCUGCACUCCAACCCAACUUAACGCUCUGGCCUCAAAUCAGGUAGGAUUACCCGCUGAACUUAAGCAUAUCAAUAAGCGGAGGAAAAGAAACUAACAAGGAUUCCCCUAGUAACGGCGAGUGAAGCGGGAAGAGCUCAAAUUUGAAAGCUGGCGUCUUCGGCGUCCGCAUUGUAAUCUCGAGAGUUGUUUUCCGUGCUGGACCAUGUACAAGUUCCUUGGAAUAGGACGUCAUAGAGGGUGAGAAUCCCGUACUUGACAUGGCUGCCCAGUGCUUUGUGAUACAACCUCAACGAGUCGAGUUGUUUGGGAAUGCAGCUCAAAAUGGGUGGUAAAUUCCAUCUAAAGCUAAAUAUUGGGGGAGAGACCGAUAGCGAACAAGUACCGUGAGGGAAAGAUGAAAAGCACUUUGGAAAGAGAGUUAAACAGUACGUGAAAUUGUCAAAAGGGAAGCGCUUGAAGUUAGUUAUGCUUGCUGGGACUCAGCCUUGCUUUUGCUUGGUGCAUUUCCCAGUAUGCAGGUCAGCAUCGGUUU